RNAcentral lists this ribosomal RNA (253 nucleotides) under uncultured bacterium. RNAcentral's name for it is "partial 16S ribosomal RNA". It matches the Rfam family "Bacterial small subunit ribosomal RNA", at positions 524 to 776 of the family's 1533-position model. The record is from RNAcentral. RNAcentral also lists the same sequence under 1 other name.
UACGUAGGGGGCGAGCGUUGUCCGGAAUCACUGGGCGUAAAGGGCGCGUAGGCGGUCAGCUAAGUCUGGUGUCAAAGCCCACGGCUUAACCGUGGAGGGGCACUGGAAACUGGCUGACUUGAGUGCAGGAGAGGGAAGCGGAAUUCCACGUGUAGCGGUGAAAUGCGUAGAGAUGUGGAGGAACACCAGUGGCGAAGGCGGCUUCCUGGUCUGUCACUGACGCUGAGGCGCGAGAGCGUGGGGAGCGAACAGG